RNAcentral lists this long non-coding RNA (464 nucleotides) under Homo sapiens (human). Its description in RNAcentral is "non-protein coding lnc-KCTD6-1:2". The record is from RNAcentral. Lineage: Eukaryota; Metazoa; Chordata; Mammalia; Primates; Hominidae.
CGGGGCCGGGCUGAGGUGGCGUGUGGGUGGCCGUGCCCCUCUGCCUGGAGCCGCCUCAAAUCAACUUUAUUGACAGUAGGCGGUGACCGACAGGCGGGGUGCACGCUGGGCACACGUGCCUGGUCGGUGUUACUUGAAGCGUGGGGACUAGAAGUCAGACCCUGAGGAGCAUGAUCUCUGGAAGCUGGAGAGACCUUAAGAGUUAGGCCAACCUGUUGUGGGUGCUGGAAUCCUUUGGGCACCAAGAAGUGCUUGCACACGCUCUACUGAUGGGGAACUUAACACUUCAUGAAGUCAUAAUGGUGAAGAGGAUGGUGACAUCCAAGGACAACCACAGGGCCUCUCUCCUGACACUGGUGAGAACCAGAUUCCUUUCCCUGGUUCUGUAGCUCCCAGCAGAGUUUUGGAAGCUGAUUAAAGAGAAUGUUGGAAAUAACAGGCAAUUAGAAACCUUAUUAAAAAAA